AGGAAACAGUAUUAUUCACAGGUCACAGUUGAGGAAACUGAGGCACAGGAAGCACAAGUAACUCACCUGCAUUUACACACAGAGCCGAGUGCAAGAACCCAUGUGGAUUUGGAUUCAACUGAACUGUGUCUAUCCUACCGGCGCCCACCCCCUGCGCAGAACCUUCCCUGACCUCCCUGGAAUUGAUGCUUCAGUCCCACAAAAGAUCUGGGAUGAUGGUCACGUUGAUGAGGCUAAAUAAAUAGAAAUUCGUCACUUCGUUAUUCAGUCAGCCAACUGCACCAGCCACUUUUCCAACAUUGGGAGAAGACUGAUGAGUAAAUGCAUUCCCUACCCUCAGGAGCUCAUGGAGAAUAGAGGAAACAGACAUAUAACGCACGGGUAUAAAAGAAAGGGACAGUGUG
Panthera uncia (snow leopard) is the source of this 404-nucleotide long non-coding RNA. RefSeq lists it as uncharacterized. The record is from RefSeq and is a predicted model, not a curated record. The transcript has 3 exons. Lineage: Eukaryota; Metazoa; Chordata; Mammalia; Carnivora; Felidae.